AACAAACGCUGGCGGCGUGCAUAACACAUGCAAGUCUAACGGGAAUGUCGGCUUCGGCUGGCUAGUACCGUGGCGAACGGGUGAGUAACACGUGGGUAAUCUAACCUCGAGUUUGGGAUAACCUUGCGAAAGCGGGGCUAAUACCGAAUAAGACCACGCUUGGUUCGCCAAGUGCGGUAAAAGGCGGCCUCUUCUUGAAAGCUGUCACUUGAGGAUGAGCCCGCGGCCUAUUAGCUAGUUGGUGGGGUAAUGGCCUACCAAGGCGACGAUGGGUAGCCGGCCUGAGAGGGUGUACGGCCACACUGGCACUGAGAUACGGGCCAGACUCCUACGGGAGGCAG
This 341-nucleotide ribosomal RNA is filed under the name uncultured Pseudomonadota bacterium. RNAcentral's name for it is "bacterial SSU rRNA". It matches the Rfam family "Bacterial small subunit ribosomal RNA", at positions 29 to 351 of the family's 1533-position model. The record is from RNAcentral. Lineage: Bacteria; Pseudomonadati; Pseudomonadota.